UGGGGAAUAUUGCACAAUGGGCGAAAGCCUGAUGCAGCGACGCCGCGUGAGGGAUGACGGCCUUCGGGUUGUAAACCUCUUUCAGCAGGGAAGAAGCGAAAGUGACGGUACCUGCAGAAGAAGCGCCGGCUAACUACGUGCCAGCAGCCGCGGUAAUACGUAGGGCGCAAGCGUUGCCCGGAAUUAUUGGGCGUAAAGAGCUCGUAGGCGGUUAGUCGCGUCUGCUGUGAAAACUCGAGGCUCAACCUCGGGCUUGCAGUGGGUACGGGCUGACUAGAGUGCGGUAGGGGUGACUGGAAUUCCUGGUGUAGCGGUGGAAUGCGCAGAUAUCAGGAGGAACACCGAUGGCGAAGGCAGGUCACUGGGCCGCAACUGACGCUGAGAAGCGAAAGCAUGGGGAGCGAACAGGAUUAGAUACCCUGGUAGUCCAUGCCGUAAACGUUGGGCACUAGGUGUGGGGUCCAUUCCACGGAUUCCGUGCCGCAGCAAACGCAUUAAGUGCCCCGCCUGGGGGAGUACGGCCGCAAGGCUAAAACUCAAAUGAAUUGAC
This 550-nucleotide ribosomal RNA is filed under the name uncultured bacterium. RNAcentral's name for it is "partial 16S ribosomal RNA". It matches the Rfam family "Bacterial small subunit ribosomal RNA", at positions 355 to 914 of the family's 1533-position model. The record is from RNAcentral.